ACCUAAUAGAUACCCAGGUAGUCCACGCCCUAAACGAUGCGAACUGGAUGUUGGGUACAUUGCGGUACUCAGUGUCGAAAGCUAACGCGUUAAGUUCGCCGCCUGGGGAGUACGGUCGCAAGACUGAAACUCAAAGGAAUUGACGGGGGCCCGCACAAGCGGUGGAGUAUGUGGUUUAAAUUCGAUGCAACGCGAAGAACCUUACCUGGCCUUGACAUCUGUCGAAUCCUGCAGAGAUGCGGGAGUGCCGCAAGGAACGACAAGACAGGUGCUGCAUGGCUGUCGUCAGCUCGUGUCGUGAGAUGUUGGGUUAAGUCCCGCAACGAGCGCAACCCUUGUCCCUAGUUGCCAGCACGUAAUGGUGGGAACUCUAGGGAGGACUGCCGGUGACAAACCGGAGGAAGGUGGGGAU
This 412-nucleotide ribosomal RNA is filed under the name uncultured bacterium. Its description in RNAcentral is "bacterial SSU rRNA". It matches the Rfam family "Bacterial small subunit ribosomal RNA", at positions 771 to 1180 of the family's 1533-position model. The record is from RNAcentral.